This 500-nucleotide ribosomal RNA is filed under the name Mychonastes sp. MBTD-CMFRI-S130. RNAcentral describes it as "SSU rRNA". It matches the Rfam family "Eukaryotic small subunit ribosomal RNA", at positions 1234 to 1759 of the family's 1831-position model. The record is from RNAcentral. Lineage: Eukaryota; Viridiplantae; Chlorophyta; Chlorophyceae; Sphaeropleales; Mychonastaceae.
UGAGGAUUGACAGAUUGAGAGCUCUUUCUUGAUUCUAUGGGUGGUGGUGCAUGGCCGUUCUUAGUUGGUGGGUUGCCUUGUCAGGUUGAUUCCGGUAACGAACGAGACCUCAGCCUGCUAAAUAGUCACGGUCGCUCCGGCGGCUGGCCGACUUCUUAGAGGGACUAUUGGCGUUUAGCCAAUGGAAGUAUGAGGCAAUAACAGGUCUGUGAUGCCCUUAGAUGUUCUGGUCGCACGCGCGCUACACUGACGCGUUCAACGAGCCUAUCCUUGACCGAGAGGUCCGGGUAAUCUUUGAAAACGCGUCGUGAUGGGGAUAGAUCAUUGCAAUUAUUGGUCUUCAACGAGGAAUGCCUAGUAAGCGCGAGUCAUCAGCUCGCGUUGAUUACGUCCCUGCCCUUUGUACACACCGCCCGUCGCUCCUACCGAUUGGGUGUGCUGGUGAAGUGUUCGGAUUGGCGAGAGGCGGUGGCAACACUGCUUCCUGCCGAGAAGUUCAU